Haliotis rubra (blacklip abalone) is the source of this 736-nucleotide long non-coding RNA. RefSeq lists it as uncharacterized. The transcript is spliced from 3 exons. Lineage: Eukaryota; Metazoa; Mollusca; Gastropoda; Lepetellida; Haliotidae. The record is from RefSeq and is a predicted model, not a curated record.
CUCAUGACACAUCUCACUCAGGUAGGUGCAUCUCUCAGCAGCUCAUGACACAUCUCACUCAGGUAGGUGCAUCUGUCAGCAGCUCAUGACACAUCUCACUCAGGUAGGUGCAUCUGUCAGCAGCUCAUGACACAUCUCACUGAGGUAGGUGCACCUGUCAGCAGCUCAUGACACAUCUAACUGAGGUAGGUGCAUCUGCCAGCAGCUCAUGACACAUCUCACUCAGGUAGGUGCAUCUGUCAGCAGCUCAUGACACAUCUCACUCAGGUAGGUGCAUCUGUCAGCAGCUCAUGACACAUCUCACUCAGGUAGGUGCAUCUCUCAGCAGCUCAUGACACAUCUCACUGAGGUAGGUGCAUCUGUCAGCAGCUCAUGACACAUCUCACUGAGGUAAGUGCACCUGUCAGCAGCUCAUGACACAUCUAACUGAGGUAGGUGCAUCUGUCAGCAGCUCAUGACACAUCUCACUGAGGUAAGUGCAUCUCUCAGCAGCUCAUGACACAUCUCACUGAGGUAGGUGCAUCUGUCAGCAGCUCAUGACACAUCUAACUGAGGUAGGUGCAUCUGUCAGCAGCUCAUGACACAUCUCACUGAGGUAAGUGCAUCUCUCAGCAGCUCAUGACACAUCUCACUGAGGUAGGUGCAUCUGUCAGCAGCUCAUGACACAUCUCACUGAGGUAAGUGCACCUGUCAGCAGCUCAUGACACAUCUAACUGAGGUAGGUGCAUCUGCCAGC